UACUUGACUUUCUACUGCAGUGGCGUACUUUGAACAAGAUCAUUCACGGAGGGGUUUUGGUGGUGGUGGUGGUGGUGGUGGUGAGUUGUUUUUUUUUUUUUAUUUUAUUUUAUUUUUAUUUUGUUUUUUUUUUCUUCUUCUUUUCUUUCAUCUGGGCAAAGAAGAGGUGGAAGGAAGCCAAGUAAAAGGAGACAACAACAAAGAAAAGGAAUUGUAAUUUUUUUUUUUUAAUGUAUGGUACAGUUUUUACCAAAAUGUGUUUUUAGACGCCUAGUAGUGUUAAAGAAACACCUGGUUGGUGGUGCUGUUCUUAAAUCAGUCAGGGGCGGAGCAGGUGGCAGUCCUUUGUCCAUCCUAGCUUGAUGUCUGUCUGUCUUGGUGGCCAAAGCUGUUUUAUGCCUAGGACUCAUGAAAAUCCAAUCCAAUCCAAUCCAAUCCAGGCAGCAUAGCCCAGAAGGAGGAAGACAGACCUGCAGACUGUCAUGCCACCCACAGGCCUGUCCUCCAGUGUACAGGUGGGCCACAGAAACCUGUUUGCUGACAGGCCACAUCGCAUGGAUGAAGUCACUCAGAAACCUGCCAGCCGAGUGGCCAGCCUAUAUCUGGAGCCAGCACAAUGUGCAAGCACGUGGUGGUCAGCAUGCACCAGGCUAGCCUUGGAGCUUCUGGAGACUCUCAGGUCUCUGCUGUCCAUCUCCACACAGGAGUGACACGAUUAUAGACAUGUGCUCGCACACCCGGUUUUCAUGGGUUCUGAAUCCUUACACGUGUACUACAUGAUGGGAUCUUCAGUGCGAUAGAGAUCACCUACUUCAACCCUUGCAGGAUCAGCACAGUGAAGGUAAGGCUGGUCACACCUUCCCUGUCACUGGCACAAAUAUGGCCGCAGAUUCCCAUCAUUUCAAUGUAAAGUUACACUGUCUGUCUAAGUUAGGGUUUUAUUGCUGUGAGCAGACACCACAACCAAGGCAAAUCUUUUUUUUUUCCCCAAGGCAAUUCUUAAGGUCAACAUUUAACUGGGGCUAGCUUACAAACUCAGAGGUUCAGUCCAUUAUCAUCAAGGUGGGAGCAUGACAGCAUCCAGGCAGGCAUGGUGCAGGAGGAGCUGAGAGUUCUACAUCUUCAUCUGAAGGUGACUAGGAGAAGAUGGGCUUCUGGGCAGCUAGGAUGAGGGUCUUAAUGCCCAUGCCCACAGUGGCACACUUCCUCCAACAACAAGGCCACACCUACUAUUACAAGGCCACACCUCCAAAUAUUGCCACUCCCUGGGUGAAACCACCACACUAUUAAUCUUAUUCAACUUUGCUAGACUGGGGAGGAAGGAAGACAGU
RNAcentral lists this long non-coding RNA (1331 nucleotides) under Mus musculus (house mouse). Its description in RNAcentral is "predicted gene, 41118". The stretch from base 268 to 412 matches the Rfam family "Small nucleolar RNA SNORA48". Lineage: Eukaryota; Metazoa; Chordata; Mammalia; Rodentia; Muridae. The record is from RNAcentral.